Molecule: ribosomal RNA, 435 nt
Filed under: uncultured bacterium
Lineage: Bacteria
Description: partial 16S ribosomal RNA
Rfam family: Bacterial small subunit ribosomal RNA
Source: RNAcentral
AGCGAACGCUGGCGGCAGGCUUAACACAUGCAAGUCGAGCGGGCGUAGCAAUACGUCAGCGGCAGACGGGUGAGUAACGCGUGGGAACGUACCUUUUGGUUCGGAACAACACAGGGAAACUUGCGCUAAUACCGGAUAAGCCCUUACGGGGAAAGAUUUAUCGCCGAAAGAUCGGCCCGCGUCUGAUUAGCUAGUUGGUGAGGUAACGGCUCACCAAGGCGACGAUCAGUAGCUGGUCUGAGAGGAUGAUCAGCCACAUUGGGACUGAGACACGGCCCAAACUCCUACGGGAGGCAGCAGUGGGGAAUAUUGGACAAUGGGGGCAACCCUGAUCCAGCCAUGCCGCGUGAGUGAUGAAGGCCCUAGGGUUGUAAAGCUCUUUUGUGCGGGAAGAUAAUGACGGUACCGCAAGAAUAAGCCCCGGCUAACUUCGUG